This 497-nucleotide ribosomal RNA is filed under the name uncultured bacterium. Its description in RNAcentral is "partial 16S ribosomal RNA". It matches the Rfam family "Bacterial small subunit ribosomal RNA", at positions 28 to 507 of the family's 1533-position model. The record is from RNAcentral.
GAUGAACGCUGGCGGCGUGCCUAAUACAUGCAAGUCGAGCGAACAGACGAGGAGCUUGCUCCUCUGACGUUAGCGGCGGACGGGUGAGUAACACGUGGAUAACCUACCUAUAAGACUGGGAUAACUUCGGGAAACCGGAGCUAAUACCGGAUAAUAUAUUGAACCGCAUGGUUCAAUAGUGAAAGACGGUUUUGCUGUCACUUAUAGAUGGAUCCGCGCCGCAUUAGCUAGUUGGUAAGGUAACGGCUUACCAAGGCAACGAUGCGUAGCCGACCUGAGAGGGUGAUCGGCCACAAUGGAACUGAGACACGGUCCAGACUCCUACGGGAGGCAGCAGUAGGGAAUCUUCCGCAAUGGGCGAAAGCCUGACGGAGCAACGCCGCGUGAGCGAUGAAGGUCUUCGGAUCGUAAAACUCUGUUAUUAGGGAAGAACAAAUGUGUAAGUAACUAUGCACGUCUUGACGGUACCUAAUCAGAAAGCCACGGCUAACUACGUG